GCAAGUCGAGGGGUAACAGGUAGCUUGCUAUGCUGACGACCGGCGAACGGGUGCGUAACGCGUAUAGAAUCUGCCUUGUACAGGAAGAUAGCCUUUAGAAAUGAAGAUUAAUAUUCCAUAAUACUGAGUUGUGGCAUCACAAUGUAGUUAAACAUUUAUGGGUACAAGAUGAGUAUGCGUCCUAUUAGCUAGUUGGUGAGGUAAGGGCUUACCAUGGCAACGAUAGGUAGGGGGUCUGAGAGGAUAUC
RNAcentral lists this ribosomal RNA (248 nucleotides) under uncultured bacterium. RNAcentral's name for it is "partial 16S ribosomal RNA". It matches the Rfam family "Bacterial small subunit ribosomal RNA", at positions 57 to 304 of the family's 1533-position model. The record is from RNAcentral.